This is a non-coding RNA of Bacillus sp. CHD6a, 73 nucleotides long. The record is from Rfam. NCBI's taxonomy places the organism in Bacteria, Bacillati, Bacillota, Bacilli, Caryophanales, Bacillaceae.
GGAGGAUUAGCUCAGCUGGGAGAGCACCUGCCUUACAAGCAGGGGGUCGGCGGUUCGAUCCCGUCAUCCUCCA